CGAUGUCUGCCAGGGCCACGUCUGCCAGGGCCACGCCUGGUCCAGUCCACAGAUCUGUUGGGAUGCACUCAGAGAAAAUCAAUGUCACCACUAGAAAUUCCUCACACCAGGAAGGAGCCAUGUUUUAUUGCACCUGAAACAUAAUGCUUGACUUCUUGGGAUGUGGAAGUAGCAGAUGUGUCAGCAGCUUAGCACUGACUGUGAUGACUGCAGUCACCUGUGGACCUCUCGUUGGAGAGAAGGGGGUUUGAAAAUGAAUUAAAUGGAUUAAAAAUGCAGCUGAAAGCCAGGAUUAUUUAAGGAAUGGAGAACAAUAGGAAAGCAUGACAAGGAAAGAUCAGCCAUUUGACAAUGAAGCAACAUCCUGAGCCUGAAGCACAAUACUAUUGAGACACCUGACUUGACUGCAAUGACUGUGAUGACAAUUUCACCCACAAGGAAAUAGCGGACAAACUCCAGAUCUCUGAAAGAAUGACAAACAGCAUGAAAUACAGGGUCUCCCACAAGAAUGCCAGCGACUUCAUCUCUUAUGGACCUGGGAAAGACCAAACAAAAUUUACACAUGGCUCAAACCCAGACUGGGGUCUGGCAUUUGAAUCAUCCUGGAGUAUUUUCAAUCCAUCUCACUCUAUCCUAGGAUCUGCUUCCUUUUUAAAAGACCUUUAAGCUCAAAACAUCUUAUUUAUACUGUUAUAUCAGCUGAUUUUGAAAUUAUCAGCAUCCACCAGCACAUCUGAAAACCAGAAUACUUAUUUUGCAUUGUAAAUGUGAUGAAAAUUUGAACAUUUUUAAUCUGUAACAUCAAAUUAUUCUGUAUCAUUUGUCUUUUGCAUUUACCAACCAUUAAAGAUCAGUGUUGCCCUGUAA
This is a long non-coding RNA of Passer domesticus (house sparrow), 867 nucleotides long. RefSeq lists it as uncharacterized. NCBI's taxonomy places the organism in Eukaryota, Metazoa, Chordata, Aves, Passeriformes, Passeridae. The transcript has 5 exons. The record is from RefSeq and is a predicted model, not a curated record.